CAUGCACGCGAACCCUAGCGCGAGGCUGCCGGCCAGGGGAUCCAUCACGUGGUCAGUGGCAAGGCUGCAAGAACCGAAGCUCGAGGCAAGAGUGUCCGCAAGGGUACUGCGCUGCAACUCUAGCGACGGCAGCGACUGAUCAGCUGGCUCCUCCACUUCGCUAGUUUCCACCAUGUCGUCCGCCAUGUCGAGCGCCGCCAGCUCCUUCCUUGCGGCAGCAGCGAGGAAGCCGCCGCGCCGGAGCUCCCUCCAGCGGUGCUUCAUGACGCGCGAUGUGCGGCCGUAAACGGCCCGGCCAAUCUCCUUCCAGCGGUCGCCGAGGCGGUAGUGGAGGCGCAGGAGCUCGUCGUCGUCGCGGGCGGUGAAGGGGCGGUGGUAGACGUCGCGCGGGCGAGGUGGUGGCGCCACCUGUCGCGGCACGACCUAGCGGAGCGGCGUGGCAUGCUCCUGGCGACCCGGCUCCAGCGGCGGAAGCCGUUCUCCUUGGCGAGGCGCUGCAGCCGCGCGUCCUCCUCCGGCGUCCAUGCCGGCGGCAGCUUGAGGCGGACGAUGCACCUCGCGCGAGGCGGCGGCGGCAGCGGUGGCGUCGCCAUGAUCACCUCCUGAUCCAUCGCGACCUCUCAA
This 624-nucleotide small RNA is filed under the name Oryza sativa Japonica Group (Japanese rice). RNAcentral's name for it is "sRNA Os10g0350300". The record is from RNAcentral. Lineage: Eukaryota; Viridiplantae; Streptophyta; Magnoliopsida; Poales; Poaceae.